CAGCGAAUCUCCCGAACAGAGAAAAACCCGGGCUAUUUAUGGGGAAGGAGAGGGGCGGGGGGAAGCCCGAGAUACCUGUAUCGGGGUGGGACAGCAGGGGAGAACACCAAUGAAACACAACAGUUUAACAUAUCUAACUCAAAGACCCCUGGGAGCAACACAUUGUGUCUCUCUCACAGAGAAGUAUCUCCUCUCCAGGGGAGAGCCAGGAUCCCGGGCCUACCGGGCUCCUCCGUACCCACAACUUCCCCUUCUUUACUUAUUAAAAAGGCAUCCCCUAGAGAGUUAGCUGAUAGCUUCUUAAAACAUGAAAACAUACUUAGGAAGAUAAUAACAAUCAAGAAAACCCAACAAAUGUUCUUGAGGACGGAGGCAACCCAUCUCUCGAGUCCCCAGCUCACAAAAAGGUCUUCAAGCCACUGGGGCUCCUUUUCAGCCUGGAGUUUUUGGACUGCAUGUUGGAGUCUCUGGAUGCGGGCGUGGAUGUCUUCACUGGGGCUGGAGAGGUUAAAGCAGCACAAACCAUCUGAUUCCUCGCAGCCGUGUCCAUGGGCCAGGAGCAGAAAGUCUAUGGCAGCUCGGUUUUGUUGGGAAGGGAUUUCUGCCCACACUCUAUCCCCACAGAUUAAGAACACUCCCUGGGGCAGCACUCUGGGAUAGUGAGAGGAGGUGGAUCGUGUGCUGCUGCCGUAAUUGCACCAUUUGGACUGACUGUAAAUAUUACUGUUGGGAGUCACAUUUUUCCUUGAUUUAAUUGCCUUUUGGUAUUUCGAGGCAGGCCAUGCAUUGGCUACUGGGUGAUAAUUAAAAUUUAUGCAAUAGGUAGCUUUGGAGGAUCCCAAAAGCUCUAAUUCCUGGGGUUCCUCUGGUGCAUGGGGUAAGAUCUUUGUCCACUCACCCCAAGUGUCUACUGGGUUGGGUUCUUUCCCUGUGAAAGGAUAUUCACGGGGCUUUAAAGGAAUCCCUACCAGGCAGGAUGACAGAGGGUUGGUAGCGCUGCUCAUGGACAAGCACAUGUGGUCUUGUUGGAGCGUCUUUGCAAGGGUGAUCCACACGUUCUCCUGGGGCUGUGCUACUAGGCAGGCAUUCACAGCUGAUGUUUUCAGGAGCAUCCAGAUAAUCAGGAACAUCAGGAACUCAAGGAAGGUUUUGCUCUCCGUUUUCUAUAAUAGGACAUAAAAGAUUAGCUCUGAUUUUUGGAGGCGGGGGGAGCUAUUUUCUUUCUCCCUUUCCUCUCCUGUCUCCCCCCUCUUUAAAAAAAACAGAAACAAAAAAACCCCAAACAAUUAUAAGCAAGGUUAUUCUGUGUGUUGGGGACACAUGACCCGACACCAGCAGCAGCACAGAGGUGCACUUUGGUGUAAGCCAGCAAUUUGGGCUAGGCAACGAGGGCAAGAAGGGGAAGGGGAAGGGAGUUAAGAAGACUUGUGUACUGUCACAGUGUCAGGCGUGAUGUUGGCAGUCGUCUCAUUGCGGCCCUGGUAGGAGGACGGUUUGGCCUCUGUCUGGUUGUUGGUCUGGUGGCAGGUCGGUUCUGUGGACUCCGACGACGUCUCCGCUUCCAGGCUGCAGUGGGCUGCUGUUUUUCUGGACCUGUGUGGGUCUCAGGAGACUUUGAAAGUUCUGAAUCUGGUGCAGGGUUUGUAGGGCCUAAAUAAGG
Long non-coding RNA from Parus major (Great Tit), 1660 nucleotides. The record is from Ensembl. NCBI's taxonomy places the organism in Eukaryota, Metazoa, Chordata, Aves, Passeriformes, Paridae.